AACGCGAAGAACCUUACCUGGGCUAGAAUGCCUCUGAUCGCCAUAGAGAUAUGGUUUCCUGGGUAAAACCAGGCAGAGUGCAAGGUGCUGCAUGGCUGUCGUCAGCUCGUGUCGUGAGAUGUUGGGUUAAGUCCCGCAACGAGCGCAACCCUUAUCAAUAGUUGCCAGCGGUUCGGCCGGGCACUCUAUUGAGACUGCCGUUGACAAAACGGAGGAAGGUGGGGAUGACGUCAAGUCCUCAUGGCCUUUAUGUCCAGGGCUACACACGUGCUACAAUGGGCGGUACAAAGGGAAGCAAUCCUGCGAGGGGGAGCCAAUCCCAAAAAGCCGUUCACAGUUCGGAUCGGAGUCUGCAACUCGACUCCGUGAAGUUGGAAUCGCUAGUAAUCCCGUAUCAGCAUGACGGGAUGAAUACGUUCCCGGGUCUUGUACACACCG
This 438-nucleotide ribosomal RNA is filed under the name uncultured bacterium. RNAcentral's name for it is "bacterial SSU rRNA". It matches the Rfam family "Bacterial small subunit ribosomal RNA", at positions 958 to 1392 of the family's 1533-position model. The record is from RNAcentral.